Cygnus olor (mute swan) is the source of this 521-nucleotide long non-coding RNA. RefSeq lists it as uncharacterized. Lineage: Eukaryota; Metazoa; Chordata; Aves; Anseriformes; Anatidae. The record is from RefSeq and is a predicted model, not a curated record. The transcript is spliced from 3 exons.
GAUUUGACUGAGCCCUUUUCUAAUUGAAGAGAAAAUUUGAAUUCCUAGGGAGGAGAUUAUGGGUAAUCUGCUACUUUAAAAAGGCAUGAGCGAGCACUUUUUUGGUUUAAUUUAAUAGGGGUUGCAUGGUGAGCUCUUAAGAGAAAGGAAAAAAUGCUGAUGGUAUUGAGGUUAGAAAAAUGGAUGUUUUUAUCAUAUCAGAGAGUAUAGAUAGAGUCCUUUGUCAGGGUCUUCUUUGAGCUGGGCACUCUAGAUGUUAGAAAUCCAGACCAGAACAGAUUUUGGCCAAAGUAGGGGGAAUAGCCUAACCUCUAGCAAAGGUUGAACAAAUGCUGCUCAGGUCCUAAGCAUUAGAUCUGCAAAUGUUUUCUCUGUAGCUACAUAAUUCCCUUAUAGAAAAGAAAAGCUGUGGUUAUGUACACACUAUAAUAGCCUGAAAGGAGGAACUUUUUUGUCAGUGUGUGUCCAGUCCUGUUAGUGGCACAAAUGUAGCUGUGAAUACCUGAAACCUCAUUUUUGCA